This 447-nucleotide ribosomal RNA is filed under the name uncultured archaeon. RNAcentral describes it as "partial 16S ribosomal RNA". It matches the Rfam family "Archaeal small subunit ribosomal RNA", at positions 330 to 747 of the family's 1478-position model. The record is from RNAcentral.
GCGCAGCAGUCGCGCAACCUCUGCAAUACGCGAAAGCGUGACAGGGCUACCCCGAGUGCCGUCCGCUGAGGAUGGCUUUUCUCCGGUGUAGUAAGCCGGAGGAAUAAGGGGAGGGCAAGUCUGGUGUCAGCCGCCGCGGUAAUACCAGCUCCCCGAGUGGUUGGGACGAUUAUUGGGUCUGAAGCGUCCGUAGCCGGCCGGAAAAGUUCCCCGUUAAAUCUGGCGAUCCAAUCGUUGGGCUGCGGGGAAUACUCUUCGGCUUGGGGGCGAGGGAGGUCGGCGGUAGUCCCGGGGUAGGGGCGAAAUCCUAUAAUCCCGGGAGGACCACCAGUGGCGAAGGCGGCCGACUAAAACGCGCCCGACGGUGAGGGACGAAAGCUGGGGGAGCGAACGGGAUUAGAUAUGAAGUUGAGUUUUUGCCAGCUUCACUAGAUACCCGGGUAGUCC